Molecule: long non-coding RNA, 3971 nt
Filed under: Capra hircus (goat)
Lineage: Eukaryota; Metazoa; Chordata; Mammalia; Artiodactyla; Bovidae
Description: lncRNA (ENSCHIG00010031601.1)
Source: RNAcentral
CUAAAGAACUGGGUAUGACAUUUCAAAUUUAUAGUGAACCUUUUUCCUUAUUCUUUCCAUAAGGUUAGUUUUAUGAAGAAAUUCUUCAUAAUUAAACAUUUGAUGGAACUCCUCUCUUAAUACAGGCUUGUGACAAUUUGCCAGCAUUUCUGUAAACUGCAAGUUAUCCAUAGCUGGAGUCCAGAAAUAAAGAGGAUGCCCUCCUAUAAAUCAGUGCCCCCACACUCACCCUGGGGGGGAACGAAUCUCACUCAGGGCAAAGGUCACCCCUCCAUCAAAGAGAAAAGUCCCACCUCUCCCCUCCCCAAAUCCACUUGUUCCUGGAGGCAGACAGAAGGGACACCAAGGCUUGAAUCUGAAAAAUGCCGAGACUCUCAUGGUCCCAAGGCUCAUUUAAUCCCAAACAGACCGCUGCCAACAUACUGCUGGUGAUCAGCUGGAAAAGGUCAGGGGUGACAUCCCCGAGGAGGAGGCCGGAAGGAGAAAAGGGCCACAGUCUCACGAGUGACUCACACCACCAGUGAGCGCCAAGCCCAGCGUCCAGUCAGAAAAUUGCUGGUACCCAAACUCCAGGUGCCCAGGGAUGCACACCCACACCCCACAUUCACAUCUGCCAUCCCAAAGCUCCACCCUGCUAGCCGGCCUCUGCAUUUUCCGAUCAGACUGCAGAAGGAAGCCACAUCCUGACGCUGCUAUUCACUUGAAAGACGCAAAAGCCAAGUGAGAUGUGGUUUCCUACCAAGAGAGUAAGGAUCUGGGAGCUACCGACGGUGAUGCAAUGAAUUCUUCCUAUUUGGACAUUCAGAAUUCUGGAGAAGGAGAUCAAAGGUGCCCAGCGCUAAGCAAGCCAAGCCAGGUCCACAUGCUGGGUGCCAGCUCUGCUGUGGGCACACCGAGAAGAGCACAACGCAGAAGGCCAGGGCGGCACAGGGUGGCAUUUCCCAACAGCAUUCAGCAAGAAGAGAGUUAAAGCAGCAUUUCCCACAUCCUCUAGAACUUUUGAGGGGGAGGGGUUAGAAAAGCAAAGGGAUGCAUUUUUUAAAGAACAGUGUCAGAAUAACUCCAUCCAAGAGCUAAAACGUAGAAAACAUUUACAGCACCUAUAGUAUCGCCUUUUGAAGGAGGAAUGCUACUGCUUACGUUCAAAUAUUUAUGACUGCAGAUGUCUGAUCAAAAUCUUCUCACUUUCUUCUGCUUUCUUUAUUAGUUAUAUUCCUUCUGCCAAAAUCUAUGCCUGUUACUGAGAAAAUUUAGUUGUCUCCAGCUAAAUAUGGCCAUCAAACACCAGUGAAAAAGUUAUGCUUCCUGUACAACAGAGUUACUUUAUUCAGUUAAAAAUCUAAUUACAUUAUAAGCAAAAUACCACUUUUAACGAUAUAACCAACACCAAUGUUGAAAAUGGAAUAAAAACCAAAAGAGUGUAGUAUCCUGAAUGUUGACAACAAACAUAUUAACAAAUGAAAACACACAGGGUUGGACAAGCUCCUUCCCACUGAACGGAAUCAGCUUCUAUUUCAGUUUCCUAUUUCUGUGCCAUUAAGGUAUAAUGCAGUUGAAACUCUAAACACAAUCUCUGGCCAGACUUACAGGCAUUCUCACAAAAUUCUUUAUAAAAGAGCCGAUCUGGUAACUUAUGAAUAAGACCAAUACGUAUCCUAGAAAAUGAAUAAAUAAAAAUCCACAAUUACCCAAUAAACCAAGUACUGGUUUUUCAAGAACGAUCCAUGACUAAACUCUCCUUAAAUUCCUAGGUCACAUUAUCAUUUUUCCCUAUUUAGUAAGGCUGAAAACCAUCUGUUAGAGCUUACCNNNNNNNNNNNNNNNNNNNNNNNNNNNNNNNNNNNNNNNNNNNNNNNNNNNNNNNNNNNNNNNNNNNNNNNNNNNNNNNNNNNNNNNNNNNNNNNNNNNUCAUUUUUCCCUAUUUAGUAAGGCUGAAAACCAUCUGUUAGAGCUUACCCCACUCUGAGUUAUUCUUUAAAGAAGUUUCCUUUUCUUUUUUACAUAAUUGUUGCUAAACUUAAUCUCCACACCAAAUGCUCCACCUGUAAGACUCAGAUAUCUUCAAGUAGGAGCAGGUAAGGUAAGUGAAGUUAAAGUUUAAUUCUUGGAAGUGGAGACAAGGCGAUUUCAGCAUCGACCUGUUUUCACAAACAUCACCCAUUUAAUUCACCCUGGGUUGGUCUGUGGGACAUGUCACAAAGCUAGACAUGUGGGACUUCAGAGCCCCAAGAAAACUUUAAUCUCUAAAUUAGUCAACUUUAAAGGUCCUUUACAAAUUAACAAUGGGAUUAAGACUGGUGAUGAAAACUACCCUUGGGUCAUCAGUGACUAAUAUCAAUUACACAUCCAAAGGUUAAAAAUUCUUGAUUGAGUAAGUUUCAGUAUAUUAAGCCAUUUGGAAACACUGCUCUGACAAACAACUGGAGAAGGAAAUGGCAACCCGCUCCAGUGUUCUUGCCUGGAGAAUCCNNNNNNNNNNNNNNNNNNNNNNNNNNNNNUCUAUGGGGUCGCACAGAGUCGUACACGGCUGAAGUGACUUAGCAGCAGCAGCAGCAGCUCUGACAAACAACAGCUUUCAAAAAUAAAACGAAGCAGCACUCCUCUCCUUUACCUACCAAACUGGCUCCUUGACUGUUCUGUUUCAUUUUAGAGACUUCCCCCAUUCUUCUCUGUUUGAGGGCACAACCCUUGGGAUUUUUUUUUUAAGAAUGCUACUGUGCUUUAAGGGUUUCAUUAUAUUCAAAUUGGCAAGUUAAAACAAAGCCCUACUAGUGAACUAAGAAAAAUAUCAGACAUGAUAUAUUUGUAUCUUAACACAUCAAACUUCGAAUUCCAUUACCAAAAUACUGGAGUCUGGCUCAGAACUCAGGGUCUCCCAGGGCCCAUUCAGGGGAGCUGGGAGUUGCNNNNNNNNNNNNNNNNNNNNNNNNNNNNNNNNNNNNNNNNNNNNCCCGGGCCAACUCCGCCCCUCCCAUUUCACACACAGGGAAAGCUGCGCAGCCGUGGCUUGCGGGGCACUUAAUUCUGGCCGGUCUGUGUAAAUAUAAAUACACAGCUAUUUUGACGCCACAAUCAAAGAAUGCCAGAGAAAAUGAAGGAACAAACAAAUGAUAAAAUCAGCUCUUUUUUGCGCAGCAGCAGAAAGAUCCUACCGAAUAGCAGGCAUGCCGAGUUCCCUAAAGUAGCACUUACAUUCCUCAACCAAAAUACUCCAAUCGUAUUAAUAGGGAGGCAGGAAAAAUAAUCCGGAGAAGAUCCUGUUGGGAGAAAAACCACGCUUGAUUCUCCUCCGGUCAGUCCUUUAAUGGUAUGUCUCACACAGCCACCGGGUGGGAGCACCUCAAUGGUUAAAUCAUCUUUAAUCAAGACUGGAGAAUAAGGGCAGGUUCACGGGGGAAAUGCCUUUCUGUUGCACGCUUAAUUGAGACUUUUGUGACUUGCCGUUAGGUCAGCGCCGCGCGCGGCCCAGGGUCCCGCAGCCCUGCCCUUUGUUACGCGGUGGACCCCGCCGGCAGGCCCAGCCCCCGGCCCCCGGGGCUUUCAGUCCCAGCGUGGGGUGCAGCGGCCCCCCAGGGCCGACACGUACUAGGGCCCACGGGCAGGGCGCAGCAACUCCACGCCCUGCAGCCCCGCACCGGGACGCCCGGGCCCGGUGCCCAUCAGCCCCUCGCGCCUAAAGCCGCGCGCGGCCCCCCGCCCGGACCGGAUCAGGUACGUAUCCUUAUGUAAUCGCCCCGGGGCCACGCCUUUCCCACCGCCCCACCUCCGCCAGGACAAAGUGAAGUUUAAAAUAGAAACCAAUUACCUGGCCUCGGCGGCGCCGGGGCCCCUGGAGCGCGGUGCGCGCUGCCGCGCACACCCCCGCCAGGCCAGGGCCCCGCGCAGACCCCAGCCCGGACCCCCACUGCCCAGUCCGCCGCAGACCCUCGCCCCGGCCCCCACUUCCCCGUUCCGCGUGGACCCCCGCCCCG